RNA transcript from Polypterus senegalus (gray bichir), 2272 nucleotides. It is a transcript of the gene named major facilitator superfamily domain containing 13a-like, with no coding region annotated. NCBI's taxonomy places the organism in Eukaryota, Metazoa, Chordata, Cladistia, Polypteriformes, Polypteridae. The record is from RefSeq and is a predicted model, not a curated record. The transcript is spliced from 9 exons.
GUGACAAAAGGAGCGAAGGAACCUGCCAUCCUAGGAGAGGAGAGGAGAGGGACGGGACUCGUGCGGCGUAUGUUUUAAUUUACUGAUUUCAAUCUAAAUGCGUCUGUUUGCGCGAACAAACCACUGGGCGUGCAUGCAUGUUGUUUACAAACCCAAGCCUCGUGAAGACCCACAGAGCCUGAGCACGGAAAGGACAAAGCACUGAAUUGACAAUGAGGUCGGAUAUUUGCAUAUAACAAAAGGAUCCUCCAGUGGAGAAGGCUUUGUAUUAUUGUGAGGAGGCCAGCUAUUAAUUUAUGAACUGCAGGCACAGGCGGCUUUCUGUGAAGAAGUGUUCAAGGACUCCGGCUAUCGAAAGGAUGAGGCUACCCAUGUUUGCAAUCCACCACAAUGCCCUGGCGUACUCCAUGACAACGCUAGGGUCCUGCAUGAUGACCAGUAUUUUCAGCUUCUAUUAUGUUAAAUUGUUUCUGAACAAGUACCAGAUCUCAGAGGGAGCUUUCCAUCAAGCCCAGGUCCUGUACAUGAUCUGGAAUGCAGUAAAUGAUCCUCUCUUUGGAUACAUCCAGGACAAUUCCAGGGUGCGUUGCUGUGCACGUCGACGUCUCUCCAUUCUCUAUGGAGCACCUUUCUACGCCCUGGCAUUUCUGCUCCCCUGGUUUCCCUGGAAGACAUAUGAGGCGGGAGAUGCUCUGAGUGGCCUGCAUCUUAUCGUAUCCCUUUUCGCCUAUGAUGGCAUGCUGACCUUUGUGCUCUUAGCUCAAUGUGCUCUUUUUGCAGAGAUAUCUGGCCAGCAUGAGAACAGGCUAACACUCAUCAAGUAUAGCCAGAUUGCCUCUCUGGUGGGCUCUUGUAGUGUCCUGUUUUGUGGCUUGGUGUCAGACAAUAUGGAGAACUUCCCAUACUUCCAGGGUUUCACCAUUGCCGUGGCUUUCUUGGCAUGUGCCUGCAUGCUGUACACUGGCAUGUACACUAUCAGCCAGUAUGACAAAGAAGACUGGAAAGGCUCUGGAGAAAGAGAGCAGAAAGCAGAGGUGGCUGGCAUGUCCCUGACUGCUGUCUUCUCCAUGACCAGGCAGAUCGUAACACAGAAAGACUUCUUGUGCUUUGUCUCGAUGAACUUCUGUCAAGUUUUCCUGGUUGCAUUCUACAGCAACUUUGCCAUGAUCUUUACGGAGCACCUCAUUCCCCAAGGGGCCCUCCCGUCCUCAGUGAAGAGCAUCCUUUAUGGAGCAGGGUUCAUUUGUCCUCAGCUCCUGGUCCUGAGUAGCCAAAACCUGCUGAGGAGGCUGGGAUAUUACAGAAUCAUCCUGUGCACGUUCUAUCUUGAAGCGUUAGCCUCAGCUUUGGUCUUCCUCCUUGGGCGUCAACACUACAACAUCUUGGCUCUUUAUCUCAUUGGUAGCAUGGUGCUGGUCCAGGCAACCUUCAGUUUGUUCAAUUUGCCCCUGGCUGAUAUAAUUGAUACUGACUUACAAAAGCACCAGCGCAGCUCCCCGUUAUCCUCCAUGGUGUUUGGUACAAAUGCCCUCUUCACCAAGCCGGCUCAGUCCCUAGCUCCUAUGCUGGUUGUUACGAUUCUGAAUCAGUUUGACUACGAGAAGAUGAAAGAGGCCGCCACCUCCACCUUGGAUCUUAGACCUCAACUGCAGCCACUUCAUGAAGCAAUGUUCUAUCUGGUGUGUCUGCUGCCGGCCUGUGUGGCACUUUUGCAGAUGCUGGUCUGGAAACCCUUUUCUAUACGGGACAGUCACAUUGUGGAGUCUAAAUAUGUGGAGUCUUGAAAAGAGAUCCCGUUGCCAGCAGUGGAAAUCCCUUGAGGCGCACAAGGAUGCGGACCCCUGGUUUGCAGGGUUACAAGGUUACCCCUUUUGGGGCUUUCCAUUUCCAUUCCUCUUACCCACACAACCCUUUGGGAUUUCUGGGAGAUUGGAAAUCGCAUACAAGAGUCCAGGACAAGACCCUGAUUUAUGGGAGACUUGGUAUGUCUGCUGUUCAAUAGCAGCUUUUUGUGAUGUAAAAAAAUGAAGCAAGAUAAAUCAUGUUGGAACGUUUUAUAUCUCUAUUGUAAAAUUGCAACCGAUACCAUGGUGAAAACAAAUUGGAACCCGUUUAGAGGAAAAAAAAAAAAAGAAAAACAUGCAAAAACCUGAUUGUGCACACCCCUACCACGGGUAUCGAACUCCAGUUCUGGAGGACUGCAGGUUUUCAUUCUAACCAUCUUCUUCAUUAGGCACCGUUUUUUGCUGCUAAUUAACUUCUUUUGCUUUAG